GAGUUUGAUCCUGGCUCAGGAUGAACGCUAGCGACAGGCCUAACACAUGCAAGUCGAGGGGCAUCGGGGCGAGGAGCAAUCCUUGCCGCCGGCGACCGGCGCACGGGUGAGUAACGCGUAUGCGACCUGCCCGUUGCAGGGGGAUAAUCGGGAGAAAUCCCGUCUAAUACCGCGUAAUGCCGCGGGGCUGCAUGGCCCUGCGGCCAAAGGAAGCGAUUCCGGCAACGGAUGGGCAUGCGUGACAUUAGCUAGUUGGCGGGGCAACGGCCCACCAAGGCGACGAUGUCUAGGGGUUCUGAGAGGAAGGUCCCCCACACUGGUACUGAAACACGGACCAGACUCCUACGGGAGGCAGCAGUGAGGAAUAUUGGUCAAUGGGCGCGAGCCUGAACCAGCCAAGUCGCGUGAGGGAUGACGGCCCUACGGGUUGUAAACCUCUUUUGUCGGGGAGCAAAUUCCGCCACGUGUGGCGGAGUCGAGAGUACCCGAAGAAAAAGCAUCGGCUAACUCCGUGCCAGCAGCCGCGGUAAUACGGAGGAUGCGAGCGUUAUCCGGAUUUAUUGGGUUUAAAGGGUGCGUAGGCGGACUGUCAAGUCAGCGGUAAAAUACGGGGGCUCAACCUCCGCCCGCCGUUGAAACUGACGGUCUUGAGUGGGCGAGAAGUAUGCGGAAUGCGUGGUGUAGCGGUGAAAUGCAUAGAUAUCACGCAGAACUCCGAUUGCGAAGGCAGCAUACCGGCGCCCAACUGACGCUGAAGCACGAAAGCGUGGGUAUCGAACAGGAUUAGAUACCCUGGUAGUCCACGCAGUAAACGAUGAAUACUAGCUGUCCGGGGCGAAUGAGCCCUGGGUGGCACAGCGAAAGCGUUAAGUAUUCCACCUGGGGAGUACGCCGGCAACGGUGAAACUCAAAGGAAUUGACGGGGGCCCGCACAAGCGGAGGAACAUGUGGUUUAAUUCGAUGAUACGCGAGGAACCUUACCCGGGCUCAAACGACACAGGAACGUACCUGAAAGGGUUCGGCUCUACGGAGCCUGUGUCGAGGUGCUGCAUGGUUGUCGUCAGCUCGUGCCGUGAGGUGUCGGCUUAAGUGCCAUAACGAGCGCAACCCCCAUCGACAGUUGCUAACAGGUCAGGCUGAGGACUCUGUCGAGACUGCCGGCGCAAGCUGCGAGGAAGGCGGGGAUGACGUCAAAUCAGCACGGCCCUUACGUCCGGGGCGACACACGUGUUACAAUGGCAGGUACAGCGGGAAGCCACCUGGCGACAGGGAGCGGAACCCGAAAGCCUGUCUCAGUUCGGAUUGGAGUCUGCAACCCGACUCCAUGAAGCUGGAUUCGCUAGUAAUCGCGCAUCAGCCACGGCGCGGUGAAUACGUUCCCGGGCCUUGUACACACCGCCCGUCAAGCCAUGGAAGCCGGGGGUGCCUGAAGUGCGCUGCCGCGAGGAGCGCCCUAGGGUAAAACCGGUGACUGGGGCUAAGUCGUAACAAGGUAGC
RNAcentral lists this ribosomal RNA (1497 nucleotides) under uncultured bacterium. RNAcentral describes it as "16S ribosomal RNA". It matches the Rfam family "Bacterial small subunit ribosomal RNA". The record is from RNAcentral.